GGGGCGUAGCAAUACGCUCGCUGGCGACCGGCAAACGGGUGCGGAACACGUACACAACCUUCCUUGAAGUGGGGAAUAGCCCGGGGAAACCCGGAUUAAUACCCCGUAAUAUAAUGAAGCGGCAUCGUUUUAUUAUUAAAGCUCCGGCGCUUUAAGAUGGGUGUGCGACUGAUUAGGCAGUUGGCGGGGUAACGGCCCACCAAACCUACGAUCAGUAACUGGUGUGAGAGCACGACCAGUCACACGGGCACUGAGACACGGGCCCGACUCCUACGGGAGGCAGCAGUAAGGAAUAUUGGUCAAUGGACGCAAGUCUGAACCAGCCAUGCCGCGUGGAGGAUGAAGGUCCUCUGGAUUGUAAACUUCUUUUAUCUGGGAAGAAACCCAUGAAUUCUUUUGUGGUUGACGGUACCAGAUGAAUAAGCACCGGCUAACUCCGUGCCAGCAGCCGCGGUAAUACGGAGGGUGCAAGCGUUAUCCGGAUUCACUGGGUUUAAAGGGUGCGUAGGUGGGUUGGUAAGUCAGUGGUGAAAUCUCCAGGCUUAACUUGGAAACUGCCAUUGAUACUAUCAAUCUUGAAUACCGUGGAGGUCAGCGGAAUAUGUCAUGUAGCGGUGAAAUGCUUAGAUAUGACAUAGAACACCAAUUGCGAAGGCAGCUGGCUACACGGAUAUUGACACUGAUGCACGAAAGCGUGGGGAUCAAACAGGAUUAGAUACCCUGGUAGUCCACGCCCUAAACGAUGGAUACUCGACAUACGCGAUAUACUGUGUGUGUCUGAGCGAAAGCAUUAAGUAU
This 798-nucleotide ribosomal RNA is filed under the name uncultured Sphingobacteriia bacterium. RNAcentral describes it as "bacterial SSU rRNA". It matches the Rfam family "Bacterial small subunit ribosomal RNA", at positions 71 to 867 of the family's 1533-position model. Lineage: Bacteria; Pseudomonadati; Bacteroidota; Sphingobacteriia. The record is from RNAcentral.